Molecule: ribosomal RNA, 497 nt
Filed under: uncultured bacterium
Lineage: Bacteria
Description: partial 16S ribosomal RNA
Rfam family: Bacterial small subunit ribosomal RNA
Source: RNAcentral
GAUGAACGCUGGCGGCGUGCCUAAUACAUGCAAGUCGAGCGAACAGACGAGGAGCUUGCUCCUCUGACGUUAGCGGCGGACGGGUGAGUAACACGUGGAUAACCUACCUAUAAGACUGGGAUAACUUCGGGAAACCGGAGCUAAUACCGGAUAAUAUAUUGAACCGCAUGGUUCAAUAGUGAAAGACGGUUUUGCUGUCACUUAUAGAUGGAUCCGCGCCGCAUUAGCUAGUUGGUAAGGUAACGGCUUACCAAGGCAACGAUGCGUAGCCGACCUGAGAGGGUGAUCGGCCACACUGGAACUGAGACACGGUCCAGACUCCUACGGGAGGCAGCAGUAGGGAAUCUUCCGCAAAGGGCGAAAGCCUGACGGAGCAACGCCGCGUGAGUGAUGAAGGUCUUCGGAUCGUAAAACUCUGUUAUUAGGGAAGAACAAAUGUGUAAGUACCUAUGCACGUCUUGACGGUACCUAAUCAGAAAGCCACGGCUAACUACGUG